CACGUAGGGGGCGAGCGUUGUCCGGAAUCAUUGGGCGUAAAGAGCUCGUAGGCGGCUCAGUAAGUCGGGUGUGAAACCCUCAGGCUCAACCUGGGGACGCCACCCGAUACUGCUGUGGCUAGAGUCCAGUAGGGGAGUGUGGAAUUCCCGGUGUAGCGGUGAAAUGCGCAGAUAUCGGGAAGAACACCCGUGGCGAAGGCGGCUCUCUGGGACGGUACUGACGCUGAGACGCGAAAGCGUGGGGAGCGAACAGG
Molecule: ribosomal RNA, 254 nt
Filed under: uncultured bacterium
Lineage: Bacteria
Description: partial 16S ribosomal RNA
Rfam family: Bacterial small subunit ribosomal RNA
Source: RNAcentral